AACGAACGCUGGCGGCAGGCUUAACACAUGCAAGUCGAACGAUGUAGCAAUACAUAGUGGCGCACGGGUGAGUAACGCGUGGGAACGUGCCUUUUAGUUUGGAGUAACACCGGGAAACUGGUGCUAAUGCCAAAUACGCCCUUCGGGGGAAAGAUUUAUCGCUAAAAGAUCGGCCCGCGUCAGAUUAGCUAGUUGGUGGGGUAAUGGCCUACCAAGGCUCCGAUCUGUAGCUGUUCUGAGAGGAAGAUCCGCCACACUGGAACUGAGACACGGUCCAGACCCCUACGGGAGGCAGCAGUGGGGAAUAUUGGACAAUGGGGGAAACCCUGAUCCAGCCAUGCCGCGUGAGUGAUGAAGGCCUUAGGGUUGUAAAGCUCUUUUACCAGGGAAGAUGAUGACGGUACCUGGAGAAUAAGCACCGGCUAACUUCGUGCCAGCCGCCGCCGUAA
This 449-nucleotide ribosomal RNA is filed under the name uncultured bacterium. RNAcentral describes it as "partial 16S ribosomal RNA". It matches the Rfam family "Bacterial small subunit ribosomal RNA", at positions 29 to 523 of the family's 1533-position model. The record is from RNAcentral.